This 301-nucleotide ribosomal RNA is filed under the name uncultured bacterium. RNAcentral's name for it is "partial 16S ribosomal RNA". It matches the Rfam family "Bacterial small subunit ribosomal RNA", at positions 509 to 808 of the family's 1533-position model. The record is from RNAcentral.
CAGCAGCACGGGAAUACGUAGGGUGCGAGCGUUAAUCGGAAUUACUGGGCGUAAAGCGUGCGCAGGCGGUUCGUUAAGACAGAUGUGAAACCCCCGGGCUUAACCUGGGAACUGCAUUUGUGACUGGCGAGCUAGAGUAUGGCAGAGGGGGGUAGAAUUCCACGUGUAGCAGUGAAAUGCGUAGAGAUGUGGAGGAAUACCGAUGGCGAAGGCAGCCCCCUGGGCCAAUACUGACGCUCAUGCACGAAAGCGUGGGGAGCAAACAGGAUUAGAUACCCCUGUAGUCCCUGUCUCUUAUACC